Molecule: transfer RNA, 69 nt
Filed under: Leiodidae sp. BMNH 1274324
Lineage: Eukaryota; Metazoa; Arthropoda; Insecta; Coleoptera; Leiodidae
Description: tRNA-Arg
Source: RNAcentral
UAAUAAGAAAUAAAUAUUAUAAUUAGUUUCGACCUAAUCUUUGAAGUGCCCCCCCCCCUUCCUUAUUUU